UUUCCGGUUGAUCCUGCCGGACCUGACUGCUAUCGGAUUGAUACUAAGCCAUGCGAGUCUUUGUAGUAAUACAAGGCAGACGGCUCAGUAACGCGUAGUCAACCUACCCUAUGGACGGGAAUAAUCUCGGGAAACUGAGCAUAAUACCCGGCGUACCACCAUUCCUGGAAUGGUUGGUGGUUAAAAUGAUUCGUCGCCGUAGGAUGGGACUGCGACCUAUCAGCUUGUUGGUGAGGUAAAGGCCCACCAAGGCGAUUACAGGUACGGGCUCUGAGAGGAGAAGCCCGGAGAUGGGUACUGAGACACGGACCCAGGCCCUAUGGGGCGCAGCAGGCGAGAAAACUUUGCAAUGUGCGAAAGCACGACAAGGUUAAUCCGAGUGAUUUCUGCUAAAGGAAUCUUUUGCCAGUUCUAAAAAUACUAGUGAAUAAGGGGUGGGCAAGUUCUGGUGUCAGCCGCCGCGGUAAAACCAGCACCUCAAGUGGUCAGGAGGAUUAUUGGGCCUAAAGCAUCCGUAGCCUGCUCUGUAAGUUUUCGGUUAAAUCUAUAUGCUCAACGUAUAGGCUGCCGAAAAUACUGCAGUGCUAGGAAGUGGGAGAGGUAGACGGUACUUGAUAGGAAGGGGUAAAAUCCUUUGAUCUAUCGAUGACCACCUGUGGCGAAGGCGGUCUACCAGAACACGUUCGACGGUGAGGGAUGAAAGCUGGGGGAGCAAACCGGAUUAGAUACCCGGGUAGUCCCAGCUGUAAACGAUGCAGACUCGAUGAUGCAUUGGCAUAUAGCCAGUGUAGUGUCGCAGGGAAGCCGUUAAGUCUGCCGCCUGGGAAGUACGUACGCAAGUAUGAAACUUAAAGGAAUUGGCGGGGGAGCACCACAAGGGGUGAAGCCUGCGGUUCAAUUGGAGUCAACGCCGGG
RNAcentral lists this ribosomal RNA (915 nucleotides) under uncultured archaeon. RNAcentral's name for it is "SSU rRNA". It matches the Rfam family "Archaeal small subunit ribosomal RNA", at positions 1 to 922 of the family's 1478-position model. The record is from RNAcentral.